GCCUGGAUAACUCAGUCGGUAGAGCAUCAGACUUUUAAUCUGAGGGUCCAGGGUUCAAAUCCCUGUUCGGGCG
Non-coding RNA from Danio rerio (zebrafish), 73 nucleotides. NCBI's taxonomy places the organism in Eukaryota, Metazoa, Chordata, Actinopteri, Cypriniformes, Danionidae. The record is from Rfam.